UCCGUAGGUGAACCUGCGGAAGGAUCAUUCGCACAAUGAAUUUUCUAUUCUCACCCGCCACGCACCAUACAGUGCUCCCUGUUUUUCAUUAGGAAUUUUUUCCGUCUCAUCGAUGUUGUAAUUUCAUUACAAUGUUUGUGAUGUUAUCUAUCUCUUGCGACGACGAAUGCCUUGGCUCGAGGAUCGUUGAAGGACGCAGCGAACUGUGCUAAACAUCUCGAAUUGCAGAUUUCCGAGAAAGAAAAGGAUUCUGAACGCAUUCUGCGAGUUUGCCUCGUGUAAGCUCACGUAAUUGGCGGUGACCGAAAUAUGCAGUCGCUCAAACUCUGAAGUUUGUGUGGUAUCGCUUGUUGUCGCAGUUUAUUGCGCCGACAGGUUCGUGGAAUUCGACGCUUCACUCGUUUUCGAGCAGCAUUAUGUUUUCGUGACAUGAUGUUCGAAAUCAGUUUUGUGUUUCUGGUUUAGGUUUCUAAACUUUUUUUUCCGCACGCUCACGACCAAUUACGGGAAUACCCGCUGAAUGGAAGCAUAUCAAUA
RNAcentral lists this ribosomal RNA (537 nucleotides) under uncultured eukaryote. RNAcentral's name for it is "eukaryotic LSU rRNA". The stretch from base 152 to 304 matches the Rfam family "5.8S ribosomal RNA". The record is from RNAcentral.